RNAcentral lists this long non-coding RNA (12641 nucleotides) under Lynx pardinus (Iberian lynx). The record is from RNAcentral. Lineage: Eukaryota; Metazoa; Chordata; Mammalia; Carnivora; Felidae.
UGUCACUGUCCUGACUCCCAUCUCCAGUCACCUGGCGUCCUUACUCCUUGAAACUCCAGGUAUGGUGUUUGCCAUUCUCUUUGCAUGGACAGGUACUCCCCAGAUUAUCUGGAAGCAGGCCUAGCUACAUACACUGCAGUGCCCAGUACAAAAUGCAAACGAGGGGCUUCUUAUUCAAACUUCGUUAAGAUUUUCACGACUGUGACAGCAGAGGCCAAGCCCAGGCACAGGGCCCUUCUGGGCAGAGUCUGGAAGUUUUCCUCCUUCAACAGCUUCAGGACUUUGUUCAAAAACCAUCAUCAUCAUCAUCAUCUUUUUUUUUAAGCUAUUUUUUUUUAAUGUUUAUUUAUUUAUUUUGAGAGAGAGCAAGCCCGAGCAGGGGAGGGGCAGAGAGAGAGGGAGAGAGAGAAUCCUAAGCAGGCUCCACGCUGUCAGCGCAAAGCCCGAUGUGGGGUUUGAUCCCAUGCACCGUGAAAUCAUGACCUGAGUUGAAGUCAAGAGUCAGACGCUUGACCGACUGAGCCAUCCAGAUGCUCCCAAAACUCAUCUUCUUAUUGAAGCCUCUCGCCCUGAUCACCCUGUUUAAAACCUUAGUACCUACCUCUGCACCUAAAACUCCUUAUAUACCCUCCAUGAUGUCCUCUUCCUCUUGGGUGUUUCUUACCCUCUAACACACUAUAGUUUACUCACUUCUGUUGCAUUUUUUCUGACCUCUCCCUGGAUUAGAAUAGAUGAGACCCGGGGUUUUGUCUUGGUCAAAGCUGUUUCCCCUGCACCUAGAACAGCGCCUGAAAGAAAGAAAGAAUGGGGGCGCCUGGGUGACUCAGUCAGUUAAGCCUCUGACUCUUGAUUUCAGCUCAGGUCAUGAUCUCAACAGAUUGUGAGAUUGAGCCCUGCAUCAGGGUCUGGGCUCACAUUGCAGACCCUGCGUGGGAUUGUCCCUCUCUCUCUGCCCCUCCCCCCACUCAUGUACUCUCCCUCUCAAAAUAAGUAAAUUAAGAAAAAAAAAAAAGAACGAAUGAAUGAAUACAUUGAUUUUGCAGUCCUCUGGUAGAAAAAGCCAAGCUUUGAAAUCCGUCCUUUAGAGGGAAAAUUCUGUGGACUUGCAAUAUUUGUAUAAAAAUAACACAAGUCGCUUCCAUUUACUUCCUUUUUUUUACCCCAGGACAUGCUGGGACCACAGAACAGCUGGGCCAUCUUGCCUUCUAGAAUUCAGGCUCUCCACACAAGCUUUGUCCUAAGCACUUCUGCCCCUCCUUUUAAGGUUCUAAAGUUGCCAUUGUUUUGAAUCCUUCUCUCUUUUUCCCUUUGAAAAGUAGUGUUAUUGAUAAUAUUAUGGUUUGGAAUUCACAAGUUAUGAAAGUGAAAAGCCUUCUGUCCUUGUUUGUCCAGUCACCUUGUCCGAUCCCUUCCUUGGAAAAAACCAAUUAUCUUUCAAGCCCCCUGUGAAUCCUCCCAGAAAUAUUCUAUGCAGACACUGUACUAAUAAAUGCUAGUGUGAUGUGUAGGUAUGCUGCCUUCAUUUUUCAUGAAAUGGUUCGAGAACAGCGUAUGAGAACGGGGCCAUUUCUGUCUGUCUCCAUUUUGAUUGAGGCUCCAAGACCCUGGUUUUAAAUUUUUUUUUUUUCAACGUUUAUUUAUUUUUGGGACAGAGAGAGACAGAGCAUGAACGGGGGAGGGGCAGAGAGAGAGGGAGACACAGAAUCGGAAACAGGCUCCAGGCUCUGAGCCAUCAGCCCAGAGCCCGAUGCGGGGCUCGAACUCACGGACCGCGAGAUCGUGACCUGGCUGAAGUUGGACGCUUAACCGACUGCGCCACCCAGGCGCCCCAAGACCCUGGUUUUAAAUACUCCUUGUUUCUCAGCAAGAUGGCAGGGGGCCUUUGCAGUCCUUGGAAAAGAGUCCUGAAAACUGGUUUUGCAAACUUGGAACCUUCACCAUUUAGGCUAUAAGAGAAUCUGGAAAGGUCAAGGUGGAGUCAAGAUUGAUUAAGAGCUUUUGCCUUGGACUUUGAGUCCGAGGUGAGUCACGCCUAUUCCCACAGGGAAGCAUGCUUUUCCCUGAAGGUGGUUCUUCAAUGGAGGGGAGUGGCUUCCACACACAGGGGGCGAUGGCCAUGUCUGGAGACAUUUGGAGUUGUCCUGACUGGAGAGAGGCUACAGGUAUCCACUGGAGAGAGGCCAGAGAUGAUGCUAAAUAUCCUGCAGGGCACAGGACAGUCCCCACAAGGAACACCAAGUACACAGCCUCAAAUGUCACUGGUGUCGAGGUUGAGGAACACUGGCCCAAGGGGAGGGGCUGCUUUGGGACCGCUUGAGGAGUGGGGAGAUGUCUCUUGCAGUUGGUGAACACAGGGAACCACUGUUUGGCCCAUAUGCGGGGGUGCUGAGGCUGCCUUGCUGUGUUUCUGGUGCAGAGGUGAAGUGAGGCUGCUGAGUGGAGAGGGCAGCCUGUGCUCCCGGCACGUUUGAUAAGAGGGAGCGUCAGGGGUUCUUGUGGAACGAGAUAAGGACUGUGAUGGCAGAGCAGGACUGCUACGUGGAGGGAAGAGUGAGCUCAGCCGGGGCUAUGGAGGGAGGAAGCCGUCAUAAGUACUAACCUGUGCCAAGGGAGCCACGGGGGAGAUACAUCCAGUUGGGAUGGGGAGAGGGGAGAUGUGGUGUGUGGUUGUCUUUGAAACACCUCCCAAAGUGCUUCAGGAGAGAAUGCAUUUGGCUCAAACCCCUGGAAAGCCCAGCAAGCGUCACGUAAAAGUUUGGCUGUCACUGCGAUGGCACACAGAAAAUAAAAUGCAGAGCUCACAAGAAAGACCCUAUUUGAUUUGGCCCCUCUGACCUCCCUAAUUUCAUUUUCUCUUAUUAUUUUGAGCCAUGGUGGACUUCAGGCCUUUCCUCAAACGCACUGGGCCUGCUCUGACCGCAGGGCCUUUAGGCUUGCUUUCCUUACCACCUAGCAUCCUCCCCCCCCCCCCCCCCCCCCCAUUUUUGCAUCAUUGUUUCCUCUCUUUGAGUCUCUGUGCACAAGUCCCCAUCUCAGAGAGGCCUUUCUUGAACAGUCUACCUGAAACAGGCAAAUCUCUGGUUAAUGUCUCCUGUGUUUGCUUAAUUCUUUAUCCCUAACCUUUUAUGAUAACGUAUCCACUUACUGUGUCUCUUCUCCAUUAUGAUGUAAUAGCCCAACAGGAAGACACUUGAUCUGUAUGUUCCCAGGGUCUAGGGCCAUCUCAGCGUUUGGUAGGUGUCCAAUAGAUAUUUAGCUAGUAAGUGAAUGAAUGAAUAUUUGAGCAAUGCUGUUGUGGUUUGCUGAGCUAUUUGAUUUGGCUUCUGAUCUGUGAGUGAGUGGAGUCUCAGCCCUGCCCAAAGACAGGCUCUGGGCCUGCCCCUUCUCUGACUUGUUCUUUGCUGUCAAAUUCCCUGGCCCUGGAGCAAAAGACAGUCAUGCAGGGGAAUAGAAAGACCAGGCCGCCCACUUCACACAGCUUUUCAGAUAAAAAGCUAGUUAGGACCCUAGCUGUAGUCACCCCUCCCUGUUUAAAGACCCAAGUGAAAAGUUGUGAAUGAAAAAGGGAGUAAUGACCACCUGUGUCCUUUUAUUUUUUUUUUUUAAGUCAAGUAUGUCUGUUUUGUUUAUAUUUUAAUUCGAUACAGGCAUAUUUUAAAAUAAAAAAUAUUGUUGCUGUUUUGGGAAACCUAAACGAGGGGCACAAUGGAGUAAGAUUGUCCCCAAUUCUGUUAGCAGGCAUUAUUAUUUUAACAUUUGUGGUACACUAUUGCCAUCUUUUUUAUCCUAUGAAUAUAGAAGAAAAUAUAUUUUUAAAUGAUAUAUUAAACAACUUAUCAAAAUGGCAUAUACUCCCAAGUAAUGUCAUAUUUUAUGGAUGUAUAUUGCAAUGUUGUAUGAUGGCGACCCCUGUUAAUUGUCUUCUAAUUCCCUCCCCAGUCCCAACAAACAAAACCUGCACACACGAAUCCUAACUGUUAUCUGUGGGUCUAUCCACUUCUCUAUCACUGCAUCUACGUAUCUAUGAGUUAAUAUAUCUGUUAUUUAUUACCUUUGUAUGUUUUAUGUUUUCAUCAUUCUAUGUUAUCCUUGUAUCGAUGUACUCGUCUUUCUGUCUAUCAUCUAUCUAUGCAUGGGUCUUUCUCUAUGCAUUUAUCUCCCUAGGUAUCCAUAUAGGUAUCUGGGUAUCAAAGUAUCUAUCUAUCUUUCUAUUUAUGCGUCUAUCAUAUAUCAGUGCUUUUAUGAAUCAACCAGUUAUCUAUAUAUUUAUCAAUCUGUUAUCUAUUUUUGUAUCACUAUAUAUGAUAUAUGAUAGUGAUAUAUGAUAUAUAUAGUGAUAUAUGAUAUCACUAUAUCAUACCUGUUUAUUUAUACAUAAACGUGUGUGUGUGUGUAUAUAUAUAUAUAUAUAUAUAUAUAUAUGUAUGUGCAUAUCCGUUAUCUGUUGCUUAUCUCUGUGCCAUUCUUUCAGUUUUAUUUACAGGACUUUCUUUCUGCCAUGCAUGCUUUGGCGCCUUGCUUCUUUCACUUAGUGCAUCUUAGAGAUCUUCUGCGCGAGCACUUCAAGAGCUAUCUUCGUCUCUUCUUUGAUGAUGCCAUUGUAUUCAUCAUAAGGAUGUUCCAAUAAUACAUUUAGAAUUUCUUUUAUCCUUAUUUUAUUGUGCUAUAUGGUGUACACACACACACACGACUUAGAUCCUGCUCAGGUCAAAAAAUAGAACAUUGCUACCACCCAAACGCCCCCAGUAGACUUCUACUCAAUUACAGCCUUAUCCUUACCUAGUAGAAGUCACUCUAUCUUGAUUAUUGUGAUAAUAAUUUUCUUGCAUUUAAAAAAAAAUUUACCGUUACGGAUGCAUUUCCAUAGAAGGUGGUUUACUUUUCUGUUUAUGAGCUUUAGUUGGAUGGAACCGUACUUCGUGAGUUUUGUUGUUUCUUGCUUCUUUUGCUCAAUGUUAUAUUUAUGAGAUUGACGCAUGUUGUGGCAGGUAGCUGAAUGUAUUCAUUUUCAUUAUUCUAUAGUAGAAUUCCAUUGUGUAACUUAAUCCCACUUAAAAAAAACCCAAUUCUAAUGAUGGUGGACAUUUGGAUUGUUUCCGCUUUUGGGCCUAUUGUGGAAAAUGCUUUUAUGAACAUGUUUAUUGAAGUAUUUUGAUGCUCAUGUGUACCAAUUUUUAAAGAUAUAUCUCUAGGACUUGAAUUUCUGGGUCAGGGGUGCAUCAACUUCACUAGGUAGUACCAGACUGUUUCUAAACAUUAGCACCCAUUCUCCCCACACCCCCAAGAAGAGGACACUUCGCAUUUGCUCAACAACCUUGCCAACAUUUGGCAUCGUCAGACAUUUAAUUAUUCUUACAAGUUUCUUGCUGAUGGACAGUCUAGUCUCUCUCUCUCUCCUUUUCUCCCCUUUAAAAAUUUUCUUUUCUUCUUCUCCUCCUCCUUCUUCUUCUUCCUCCUCCUCCUCUUCCUCCUCCUCCUCCUGCUCUUCCUCUCCUUCUCCUUUUUUUUUUUUUUUUUUUUUGCUAUUACAAACAGUAUAAGGAACCCAACCUCAUAGACUCUCCUGGCAAGCUUUUGUAAAUAUGCCUAGAGUAUAUCUCUUUCUUGGUGGAAAUGCUAAGUCAAGGUGCUGUAAAUAUUGAUAGCUAUGGUCAAAUAUUCCUCCCCAUGUUUAUAUCCCUCACUUUAUGUUCCCACAAUAGGACACGAGAGCCUAGUUCCCCCACAUCUUCAACAACAUUGGCUGUCCUUAAAUAUUAAGUGUCUGCCAAUUUUACAGCUCUUUCGUUUUGUGUUGAUUUGCACCUGUCUAGUUAUUAGUAAGUUUCAAUAUCUAUUCAUUUGGAUUUCAUGGCUGAAACUCCUUUUCUUUAAAAACUGCCGGUUCUUAUCUUUUGCCCAUUUUCAUACUGUUUUGUCAUUUUUGUCUUACCAGCUCAUACAUACUUUUUAUCAGUUGAGGACAUAAGCCCUUUGCUGCCAGAUAUUGUUGUAGCUGUCUUUUCUCGUUUAACACUGGUCUUUGGACUUUGUUCGGGCUGCUUUUAGUCCAUAAAAAACAUUGUGUAUUUAAAUUUAACCAAUUGUUUACCUUAUGGCCUCUCUGUUUUUAUAUCCUUCUUAGGAAGACCUUUCCGAACGUGCAGUCGUGCUUUCUUUUUGAAGUUUUGUGGUUUAUUUUAUGUUCAGCUCCUUGACACAUGCUACAUCUUUGAUAAUUUGGAUUUAAAUCUUUGAGGCGCCAGAAAGGGAAGGAUGCGGCAGGAAUCCAGCUUCUCCUUGCUAACAAUUUGUCAGCGGAUCCGUGUUUUUCCCCCUCCUUGUUUAAAAUGUCACCUUUACCAGAAACUAAAAUGCCAUAUGUAUUUGGGUCUAUUUUUGGAUUCUCUAUUUUGUUUCACGGAUGUCUGUUUUUUUUCCCCCUAGCAUUAAAACAGUUUUACAUUUUGCUCACUGCCUGAGUUUUACUAAGCAGAAGCAUUCUUUUUCCUCAACCAAAGAGUCAAAGCUAAACUCAGGCACAAAGCAUACAGGCAGUGGAGUGCAUCCGAGCAGGGCUGUGUGGAAGGAAGGUGAAUGUGUGGCCACUGGCAAAGGGUAGUGGGUUGUAGGUGCCAGGCGUACAAAGGUGUAAUGUUCUUGUAGAUUCUUGAUUGGGAAGGAAUGCUCUGUGCACACAUAAAACUGCACGUUAGGCAAAUAAUACAUAGUCGGCCCAGUAUCUUGGGGCAAAGUCUGAUUUCAUUUGAAAGAAGUCGUGUACCUAGUGACUCGCUGAUUAAUUAUUCUUAAUUUAAGUGGUUAACAGUGCAACCAAGCUGCAGGCAUCUGGUUUCCCGUGGCUGCGGGAAGGAGGUGAGCAGUGACCUGCUUCACAGAAAUGGGAACUGAUGUCGUGAAUCUGGCUGCCUUCCACCUUGGAGAAGUGGCUCUGUUUUCUGGAAAGAACAAGGCCUUUAAAUAACCCAAUAUGCUUUAAUUUUACUAUUUUGGAUGCUUAGCUCUCUCACAGGCACGGCAGCCAUCCUUCUCUUAUUUGUAAAAUGUUCACGACCGUAGUUCAGGCACAGUUGUUAAAUGAGGUAGUACAGGCAAGCCACAGUCCCGGGGCCACCUGAUCCUUCUGGCCUGUCUUGGAGCAGCCACUCUUGGACUCUUUUUAUAUUUGAUUUUUCUCAUGGUUGCCUCCUUACCUCUGUGUAUUAUUGUGUGCUGCUCCUUGAUACAUCAAUUUUAAUUAUUAUUAUUUUUUAUAUUUUUUAAGAGAGCGAAAGGGGCAGAGGGCAAGGAAGAGAAUCUUUUUUUUUUCUUCCAAUAUUUGUUUAUUUAUCUAUUUAGAGACAGAGAGUGUGAGCAGGGGAGAGGCAGAGAGAGAGGGAGAGAGAGAAUCCCAAGCAGACUAUGCACUAGUGGAACCCCAAUGCGGGCUCUGUCCCAUGAACCAUGAGACCAUGACCUGAGCUGAAAUCAAGAGCUGAAGGUUUAACUGACUGAGCCACCCAGGGCCCCGAGAGAAUCUUAAGCAGGCUCCACGCUCAGUGCUGAGGCCAGUGUGGGGGCUCGAUCUCACAAACCGUGAGGUCAUGACCUGAGCUGAAAUCAAGAGUCAGAUGCUUAACCGACUGAGCCACCCAGGCGCCCCUGGACAUUGCUUCUUGACUGUAUGGUAUGACAGUUGACCUUCAUCACCCUGAACCCAGGCCCUCCCCACACUGUACAGUUAAAUAACCUUCCUCCUUCUUCCAUGAAGAAGCCUGUGUGCUGUGUGCUCCAACCCUCUUUGCUGGGAUGCCUUGUGCCCUUUGUUACAUGCCCCUCUUCGGAAUCCCGGCUUUCCAUGACAUUCUUUCCCAGGGCUUAGCCUUGAUGGUCCUAGGACAUUCGUGGAAGUUCAGCCAUGGUCCAUCUGCAAGUCCUCGGUGCCUCUCCCCUACCCUGCUGAGUGCUCCACGGCGCUGGGGCCUGACCUGCUCCGACUUCUCUUUCUCCCUCAUUGCUGGUGCCCUUACUUCAUCAGGGACCCUCUUUUCACAGCAGCCACUUACUCAGGCUCUGGGCCAGAGAUAUUCUCCUAACCUUUGUCCCCAAGGCUCUGUGGUUGGCCUUAAUAAGAUCCAUUUUGAACAUGCCUAGACCCUUCCAGUGCCCACAGCCUGGGAAGUGAUCUCAUCCCAGGAGGUGUCUGCUCUGCUCACUUAGCAUCAUGCCCAGGUGUGUGAGGUGUGAGCUGCUGGAGCAGCACCCCAGGUGACCCUGUGACACUGGACCAUCCAUCAGUCUUGUGGGAACACCUGUGAGAGGGAGGGAGGUGGAUCGCUGUGAGAAAACAGACUGAUGGGCGGAUUAUUGACCGAUUAUACUAAGCUGCAGCUUAGUGGUGCGGGGUCCUAAGUUAGAAGUAGGAGGGGCACCAGGCAGGGUUUUCAAGGGGAGCUCCCAGGGCACACCUCCUUUCUAGGGGCCAGCAUGCGGGCUCUGAAGGCCAUGGUGAGCCACUCCCAGAGAUAUGGACGGAUCAGAAGAAGGUGAUGCUGUCACGGGGCCAAGGGGAGCCCAUGCGGUCCCCCAAGAGACUUACCGUUCAGGAGGGAAGAGAGACUCAUAAAUAGGUAAUGACAACACAGGUAGUAAAUGUUCUGGAACGAUGCCUUGAGAGUGUAGGCAUGGGACUCAAGGCACCCUGCCAGCUCUCUCUCCCCACUUUCUCAUCCCUCAGGUGUUGAAAGCCCACGGGUUGCAAAACCAGUUUUCAGGAACCUCUUUUCUGGGCCAGCAUCAAGAUGUGGGAGUGGUUGGUGCACGGUGAAAAGACUAGUGACAUCUAUUGCCUCCCAGAGGACCUGGUGGCUGGAAGGCAGGGGUGCAAGGAGAGGCUUUCUACCUGUGAAGGUUUUGAACUGGAAGCUUCUAUUGCUUACCCAUAAGUGCAAAUUUACUUAAAAAUACAGCCACAAAUUACCAAAAACCCCUUUGAAAGUGCCAGGUAGGGGACCUCAAAAGGGGAGGCAGGGUUGCAUAAAGGAGGAGCUGAGUGAAUCGAUUCAGGGUCUGGACACGUUGCAAGAUUAUCAGGGAGACCAGUACCUGCAGGCACAUGCACGUCCCGGGGCGAAAACCAAACCAGAUUGCAGAAACCUGUGCUGUUUUCACGUAGAUGUGGCAAGUCCCUGGGAUUGGCCUUUAAAACCGGAAGCUCUUCUCACCCAGCGACGGGUCCUAAAGUUGGUGUCAUACUAAAUUUUCCACACCAAUGUAGACAGGAUGGGAAGGGUCUGAUUGGCUGUUUCCCAAGACAUGUGGUCUGCAGCAUUGCAGGUCCACACUGUUCUGAAGGCCAUCGGGGCUCGGGUAUCUGCUGAUCUCAACGUAGCAAUCGCAUACUUGAUCGAGACUAAUGAAACCCAAUCUGUGGAAACAGCUGGGGUUAUACAUCCAAUCUUUUUGGACCACUUUCUCAUGAGAAGAAAUAGAUUUUACAUUGCAACUCAAUAUACAUGUUCAUACACAGACAUGAAAUAAAUUUUCAUAAAAUCAUACUUCAUUUAAUUAUGUCGGAUGGACUAAAUUUUCUGUUCUAUUCUUUCCUAUUUGAUAUAUUUAUUUAUUUAUUUAUUUAUUUAUUUAUUUAUUUAUUUACUUUUUUUAUUUUUGAAAGAGAGAGAGCAUGAGUGGGAGAGAGGGGCAGGUAGAGAGAGAGAAUCUUAAGUAGGCUCUACAUUCAGCAUGAUAGUGACACAGAGCUCGAUCCCAUGACCUUGGGAUCAUGACUGAGUCAAAAUCAAGAGUCAGAUGCUCAAGUAACUGAGCCACCCAGGUGCCCCUCCUGUUUGAUAUUUUUAAAAGCUGGUCACAGCCCCCUAAACUGACUUCAUGGUCCAUUCCAAAAAGUUUGGAAAAUCCUGAGCUGGGACAGGUACAUGUAUACUGAUAUGUGAUAUAAGAGAUAUAUUUUCUGUUAGGUCACUGUCAAUAAAAGUUUGAAAAACACAUCACUAAGUCAUGUCCCUAAUAUUUAAAUUUGAUCUUGUCAAGAUCUCUUCCAUUUUGUUUGUUUGUUUGUUUGCAUUCAAGGGACUCAGUCUUAGGGCACCUGGGUGGCUCAGUAGGUUGAGCAUCUGACUUUGGCUCAGGUCAUGAUCUCAUGGUUUGUGGGUUCGAGCUCCGUGUCAGGCUCUGUGCUGACAGCUCGGAGCCUGGGGCCUGCUUCGGAUUCUGUGUCUCCCUCUCUCUCUGCCCCUCCUCUUCUCACGCUCUGUCUCUCUCUGCCCCUCCUCUUCUCACGCUCUGUCUCUCUCUCUCCAAAAUAAAUAAACAUUAAAAAAGUUUUUUUAAUAAAAAGUAAAGGAACUCAGUCUUAGAAAUAUUACAAAAAAUGCAGACUCUUCCAGUGCUUUAUAAAAAUUUGUUUCAUCCUGAGUUUUAUGGAUACUACAACUUUGCUUUUUUAGAAAAAGUUUUAUGACCGAUGUGUGCAUCCCUGAACACUAGAGUUUAGUUGUUUCAGUUUUAAAAAAUGAUGUCUUUUAAAUCUCUUUUAAUCUAUAACUUUUCCCCCACCUUUUUCUCCCACCUUGCAUUCUAUUUAUUGAAUAAACUGGAUUGCUUGACUGAUAGAGAUUCUUAUAGUCUAGAUUUUGCUCCUUCCAUCCCAUGGUACACUUUAGCAUGCUCUCUUGUCAUCUGUCUUUCCUGUAAAUUGGUAGUUAGAUUCAGAGUUUUGAUCGGGUUCAGGUUUUAUUAUUAUUAUCUUUUUGGUUAGAGCACUUUGUAGAUGCUAUAGUGUUCUUCCAUCAGCCAGCACAUAAAAUGUUUACUGUUUGUGUGCAUGUGUGAAGUGCGUGCAUGUGUGUGCACGGGUGUACAUGUGUAGGUCUGUGCAUGUGUACGUGUGUAGGGGUGUGUGUGUGUGUGUGUGUGUGUGAGGUUAACUACCACCGAUGCUCAGUGUACGUCAGGAGUCACAAAAGGUUAUUCUAAUCUAAUCACGCCUUCACUUAUUAGUUCAAAUACAUCUAUUAAAAGAACUUCCUUCUACUAUUUGGUUACCUAAUAAUUCAGUUCACACAGGAAAGGCAGAACAAACAUCUGUUUCUUUCCCUUUAUUAACCAUUUCUCAAUAAUAUGUUGCUCCCUUGUCAUCCAUCAAAGAUGAUCAAAUAAGGGAAUUUUUAUUUAUUUAUUUUUAAAGUUUAUCCAUUUAUUUUGAGAGAGAGAGUGAGCAGAGGAGGGGUAGAGAGAGAGGAGAGAGAGAGAAUCCUGAACAGGCUCUGUGCUGUCACCGCAGAGCCGGGCACAGGGCUCGAUCUCACAAACCGUGAGAUCAUGACCUGAGCUGAAAUCAAGAGUCAGAUGCUUAACCUAUGGAGCCACCCAGCCGCCCCAUCACAUAGGGUUUUUUUAAAAAGUAAUUUAAACCCAUGGAUCUAAACAUAUCUGAUGCAUUUCAAUUGAUUGCAAUUAUUUUUUUCUUGAUGCACCAAUUAUUCCUUCUUUACCAAUGAGUGGCUCCUGAAUCCUGUUUAUACCACUCUAAUGGGCAUUCAUAGCUUCCUUCUUUUCUUUUUUUAACUUUUUAAAAGUUUUUUAUUUUUUGGAGAGACAGAGAGAGUGCGAGCAGGGGAGGGGCAGAGAGAGAGGGAGACACAAAAUCUGAAGCAGGCUCCAGGUUCUGAGCUGUCAGCACAGAGCCUGAUGUGGGCCUCAAACCCACGAACGUGACAUUUUGACCUGAGCGGAAGUGGGAUGCUCAACAGACUGAGCCACCCAGGUGCCCCUAUAACUUCCUCAUUUUCUUUUUUCUUUUUUAAACUUUUUAAAUGUUUAUUUUUGAGAGAGAGAAAGAAAGAGACCCAGAAUCCAAAGCAGGCUCAAGGCUCUGAGCCAUCAGCACAGAGCCUGAUGCGGGGCCUGAACUCAGGAACCGAGGGAUCAUGGCUAGAGCCGAAGUUGGACACCCAACCGACUGAGCCCCCCAGGCACCCUGUAACUUCCUCAUUUUCUAUGAGGUGUUCCAGACUCAUCUUUAUCUUUCCUGCCUCAGACCUGGAAUCAGCCAUUUUUUCCAGAAGCCAUGUUUUUUUUUUUGUUUUUUGUUUUAGUGGUAAAUAUAUUUCAGGACCACAAUAUUGGCACUAGGAAUGUUCACUAAUACUGAGUUGACCAUUUUUAUUGUGGACUUUUCAGUGGACAGAGCAAGGGAAUAUUUUAGAUAAAAUAGCUCACAAGUUAAUACUGACACUUCUCUAUUUCUUUUUUUUAAGGUUUAUUUAUUUUGAGACAGAGAGAGCGCACCAGCAGGGGAGAGGCAGAGAGGGAGGGAGAGACAGAAUCCCAAGCAGGCUCUGCACUAUCACCGCAGAGCCCGACGCAGGGCUCGAACUUACAAACCGAACUGCAAGAUCAUGACCUGAGCUGAAAUCCAGAGUCAGAAGCUUAACCGACUGAGCCACUCAGGUGCCCUGAUACUUCUCUAUUUCAAACUCAGCAUCACAGCGUUUUAACUUUGUCUUUUAUAUUUGUGUCACCUUUCUUUGUGACCAAGAACCUCGGUUCUCAAGAAUGGGGGUGGGGGUGGGGGAUAAUAGGAUCAUGUGACGUAAUCCCUCAUUUAUCUUUCAUAUGCUUCAUACACAACAGUCUCG